CGGGAGGCAGCAGUCGGGAAUCUUGCGCAAUGGGCGAAAGCCUGACGCAGCAACACCGUGUGGGCGACGAAGGCCUUCGGGUCGUAAAGCCCUGUUGUUGGGGACGAAGGGCGAAGGGUUAAUAGCCCCUAGUCUGACGGUACCCUUCGAGGAAGCCCCGGCUAACUACGUGCCAGCAGCCGCGGUAAUACGUAGGGGGCGAGCGUUGUCCGGAAUUAUUGGGCGUAAAGAGCGUGUAGGCGGUUCGGUAAGUCUGCCGUGAAAACCCGGGGCUCAACCCCGGGCGUGCGGUGGAUACUGCCGGGCUAGAGGAUGGUAGAGGCGAGUGGAAUUCCCGGUGUAGCGGUGAAAUGCGCAGAUAUCGGGAGGAACACCAGUAGCGAAGGCGGCUCGCUGGGCCAUUCCUGACGCUGAGACGCGAAAGCUAGGGGAGCGAACAGGAUUAGAUACCCUGGUAGUCCUAGCCGUAAACGAUGAAUACUAGGUGUGGGGGGAGUCGAAUCCUCCUGUGCCGCAGCCAACGCGUUAAGUGUUCCGCCUGGGGAGUACGGCCGCAAGGCUAAAACUCAAAUGAAUUGACGGA
Molecule: ribosomal RNA, 583 nt
Filed under: uncultured bacterium
Lineage: Bacteria
Description: bacterial SSU rRNA
Rfam family: Bacterial small subunit ribosomal RNA
Source: RNAcentral